This 9552-nucleotide long non-coding RNA is filed under the name Xyrichtys novacula (pearly razorfish). Lineage: Eukaryota; Metazoa; Chordata; Actinopteri; Labriformes; Labridae. The record is from RNAcentral.
UUUCACCGCAUACCAAGCACAACGGAGUCGGUGCUGUUGCAUCUCCGGUAAAAGUAAAUCCAAAUGAAAGAUAGCUUUCGUUGUAUUGCCUUGCGCCAGAAACUUUGCUCGACAUCACCGUCUUUGCUUUCUUUUGACCUCCACUCAUACUAGGGCCUUUAUCUGGGUCUGGAUUUUGUCCAGGGUCCAGUACAGAGUCAGCAUUUUUUCUCUUCAAAAACGUAUCCAUCACUAUCACCGUCGUCACGCUAUCCACAAUGACACCGUCAACGCCACCUGCGGCUGCAUCCAUGCAUCACUAAUUCGCUUGUCUCCAAGCACAAUGCAAUUAGCUACCUGCUGCUUCCACCUACUGGUAUGGAAGAGUACUACAUGAUUACUCUGCCAGGCGCUAGACCGCACAGGCACACAAAUUGGAGAAUUUCCCACGGCACACCUGACAAGUUAGACCACCCUAAUGCUUUGAAAAAAUUGGCAAGUUUUAGAACCCCCUAGAGGUCAGAGCACAAUGCGUCCAUUUUGAAGGGCUAUUUAAAAAAAUGUCAGUGUUGCCCACAUCAAAUUGACACCAAGUUGUUUAAUAACAAACAGAAAAUGGAUGAGAGAAAAUUGGAAAUGUGACAUGAGUCUGCCAAAAAAAAAAAUGGAAAAAAAAAUUAGGUCUGAUCCCCUCCUUCAAUCCAGGGAUGGGCUGUUUUAGCAGGUUGUUCAGUCUCAAUUCCUGGCUCUAAUCAGCAUGCUCCCCCAACAACUUUGUUAUUAGUGACAAUUUCAAUCUUUUUUGGCAGCGUGCAUCAUUCUAUAACAGAGAUUGUAUCCAUCCCAGUCCUGUUGGUGCCCAAUUUAGCUGCAAACAUUUUCCAUGCCAUAUCCACCCUGAGACACCUGAACUCUGUAAAACUCAGUAACUUGACCACACACUUUGUUCCUCAGACAUCUCCAAGAAAACUCUGUUGCUACACCUACUGAUGUAUGUCCCCAAUUGUCGCUACUGCAGCCAAACUUUCUUACAUCACAACACCAGACCUAUACCUUGUAAACUCCCCCUCAUCGUCCACUGUUGUUGCAGUAGACUCAUCUACCUUUUAUCUUAUCAAAUCUUAUCAACUUUAUUGAUAACUUCAGGCUGUUCUGGGACCGCAGGCAUUACUUCAGAGCAGACGGACUCUCUCUAAACAAAGCUGAAGUGAAGCUAUUCACCUCCAACCUGUAUCACUCCCUGCGUCACCCAUCUGUCAAGGACAAGAGACAAGAGGCAAAAAGACGAGAUAAAACACCACGGCCUUGACAGAGAGACGCCUCGGGCCCCCCCGCGCACUAAAAGCUUUGAUUCAAGCCAGAAGGAGGAGUCUGUACCUCCUCUACCACCACUCUCCUUAGAGGACCCACCCUGCUCAAGCAAGGAGGAGGAAUCUCUACUUCCUGUAUGCCCACCUACUGAGGAGGACGUGCCCUGCCAAACUUCACCCAUAGCAUCCUCCUCCCUGGGCACACCAUCCCCCUCCUCCUCCCUGGAUUUUCCAGCUGAACUGAGAGAACCGGAGAAUGCUGGAGUGAGACUUAGCGGCACGCCUCUCCACCACUCCCGCCACAGGACCCCCCCCCAAACUCCCCAAAUCGCCCAAAAUCCUCCAAACAGCCCCUCCUCCUCCCCCACGACAAGGAGUACUGCAGCAUCCUCUCCCUCAGCGUGAUAAGAGCACAGGACUAAUAGUGAGGAACACCUCGUUCUCAAUAAGCUCUUGCUGUUAUGUUUUGGGUCCAGGCAAGGAUAACUACAGUUAUAUCUCUUCCCAGGUCAGCCUGCGGCCCGAUGAGAUAACGUCAUAAAUCCCAGUCAUAAUAAGUAAUAGACAUACUAAUCUGCCUAGAAACAGAAGGUACCUAACUAAGAAUUUAUCAAACUUAGCCUCCAUCCCCCGUCAGCCCAUCAUGAAAAAUAGUACAGAUAAUUUUAGUGCUGGGCGAUAUGGAAAAAAAUGUAUAUCACGAUAUGGAUCAUUUUAUAUCACGAUAACGAUAUAUACCACGAUAAAGCUAUGGUAUGCUUUCAGUUCUAUGAACAAUUAAAGUGUAUACAGCUGCCUUAGUACAGUGCCAGUACAAGACCAGCACUUAAAGCUAGAAAAAUGAAUAAAUAAAUAAAUACAUGGCUGAAGUGAGUUCAUGUCUGUGCUCACCCAAAGUUAUGCAACACUCACAGAAAACACUGAUAGUGUGAGCCAAAGCACUCCAUAAUAAUAAUAAUAAUAAUAAUAAUAAUACAUUUAAUUUGUAAUGCACUUUACAUUUACAAAAAAUCUCAAAGUGCUACAGUGCGCAGUAAAAAAAGAGCAGCAACAAUAAAAAAAGCAAUAGAAUGACAGUCACAGAUUGGCAUAAAAGAAUUAAAAAAAUAAAGAAUAUAGAGUUGCAAUGUAAGAGGCAAGGUAGUAAAAGCAUAGAGGAAAGCUAACCAAAGGCUUUAUUAAAAAGGUAGGUCUUUGGGGCUCUUUUGAAGAGGUUGUUCACACUGCUGGAUGUUUCUCCUCCAAAGCUGCUCUCUGCCUCCAUCAUUGUUUACUUUACUCUUGAAGCACAUAGCAAGACCCGAGCAUGAAUCCGAGCGCUUUAUUCGCCUAUCAGGGGCUGACAGGUAAGGUGAUUUGAUUCGCCACGACUCCAGAAAUGAUUGAAAAACUACAGAAUGUCACAAAAUUACGUUUCCUCGCUCCUGGCUUGAAGGAUAGAAAUGCGCAGCCACACUCCCAGCUGACAGGAAGUCAAACCACUGUUGUAGUUCUUUUGUGUUGCUAGCGCGUUCAAGAGUGUUGGCUCUCACUGAGAGAUGACUACAAAAAUGGACGCACCUGUUCAUCUGGUUGUUUAACACGGCUGAAAAUGAUCAUCUAUUAAUGUUGUUCCCGCUCCUGCCCACUCCCGUUGCUUUUUUUCCCGUCCCGAUCAAGGGAUGGAUUAAAAAUGACUCCCAUCCCGUGGGAUUCCCGCGGGAAUCAAGUGACCCAUGGGAAUUCCCGAAAAAUGUUAUCCUCUACAGAGAAGGUCCCGGAGCAGAUGAAACAGGUGCCAGAGCGGCUGAAAUAGGUCCCGGAUCCGAUCAAAAGAGGUCCUGGAGCGCGCUCCGACUUGCUCAGGCACAAAUUAAGCACUGCUUACAAUGAUCCCCUCACGUGUGUAACCCAGGUAACCCGCAACAGCGGGAGACGCUGGACACGAAGAGAGCACGUAAAGCGGCGUCAUGUCGCAAAAUCGAAAGAGAAAUGCGAGCCUACAUGUCAACGCAUCCUUUUCUUUGUAAGAAAAUAUUGUUUUCUUUCCCGUUUGACACCAAAUACACUUACUGAAUGUGCAAUUAUUGUUGUUGUUACUAUGAAUCAUCUGAUGGCACAAGCCCUAUGGAUAAAAUACAGCCUAUCGCCCGAAACGAUAAAAAUAAAAAUGGCACGAUAGACAUUUUCUAUCGUGCCCACGAUAUCUAUCGUCCUAUCGCCCAGCACUAGAUAAUUUCUCUAGCACAUUACAUUCAGCUCUUUUAAAUGUCAGAUCUUUAGCUGGAAAAUCAUUCUUAAUCAACGAUUUUAUCAUCAAGCACAAUCUUAACUUAAUGUUUUUAACUAAAACCUGGUUAGAACAAGAUAACAGUGCAACUGUUCUUAUCAAGUCAGCCUCCCCUAACUUCAGCUUUAUGAGUGAAACGAGGAAGCAUAGAAAAGGAGGUGGAGUAGCUAUCUUAUUCAAGGACUCAAUGCAAUGUAAACAGAUGUACUAUGGGAAUUUUCCUUCCUUUGAAUAUGUGGCCUUCCAGUUGAACUCUGCUACUAGAGCAAUAUUCCUUAACAUCUACAGACCUCCUAAAUACUGUGUGAAUUUUUUUUAUGACUUUACUGAAUUGCUGUCUAUAAUCUGUAUUGACUUUGACUGUGCAGUGAUUGUUCGUGAUUUUAACAUUCACGUUGACAACCCCCAGGACAGAGGCACCAAAGAAUUAUGCUGUCUCCUUGAUAACUAUGGUUUGAGCCAACAUGUAACAGAGCCCACACACAAUAGAGGUCACACUCUAGACUUAAUUAUUUCCAAGGGCCUGAACAUACCCAAAAUCAUGGUUACUGAUGUUGCUAUUCUUAAUCACUCCUGUGUGUUUUUUGGGAGUACUAUUUCAAUGCCAUUCACUACUACUCAGACAGAGGUAAUCACCAAGCGGCUUAUCACUGACAACACCAGUGAAUUAUUUAAUCAGGCUUUGACUCCCCUCCCAGCUCUCUCACGGCUCUCAGUCAAUGAGCUUGUAGAAGACCUUUGCUCUAGAAUCACAAAUGUGAUGGAUGCCAUUGCGCCCACCAAGGUGAAAAUAGUCUCUGGCAAGAAAAGAUCUCCAUGGAGGAACGCCACGCUGGUUAGAGCUGAAAAAAGAGAGUGUCGGAAAGCCGAACACAGAUGGCGAAAGACAAGCUUUCAGGUUCACUAUCAGAUCUAUAAAGAGAGACUUCGUACCUUUAACCUAGAACUGAGAAAUGCUAGGCGAUCCUUCUUCUCAGACAUCAUCACCAAAAACAAAAAUAAUGCAUGCGCCCUAUUUACCAAAGUCGACAGGCUAACAAACCCCCCAGUAUCAGUAGCCUCUGAAUUUCUGUCCGCCAAGGCUUGUAAUGAAUUUGCCUCCUUCUUCAAUAACAAAAUCCAGAAAAUUAGACAAACAGUCAGUAGCUCAAUAUCCGGUACAGGACAUGUGUUGUCCAUGCGUACUAACCCCAGUAGCAUGACACAAUUCAACCCGAUCAACAUUAAAACCCUGUAGGACAUCAUACUAAAUCUGAACUCCUCCACCUGCUGCCUUGAUAUUCUGCCAACAGGCUUCUUUAAAACAGUUUCUAAUUGCAUGGCCUCAGAUCUUCUACAGAUUGUCAACAUGUCACUUCUGUCAGGUGUCUUUCCACAGGCCCUGAAAACUGCUGUCAUAAAGCCUCUCCUAAAAAAAAGCAACCUAGACAACUCAGUAAUGAACAAUUAUAGGCCUAUAUCGAACCUCCCGUUUUUAAGCAAAAUCACUGAAAAAGCAGCCUUCCAACAGCUUCACAACUUCUUAGUCCUCAACAACUGUUUUGACAUUUUCCAGUCAGAGUUUCGACCGCACCACAGCACUGAGACUGGUCUUAUCAAAGUCUUUAACGACAUCCACUUAAACUCAGACAAUGGCAAAAUUUCAGUCCUAGUAUUGCUCGUUCUCAGUGCCGCUUUCGACACGGUAGACCACAGCAUCCUACUCGAUCGACUGGAAAACUGGGUGGGACUUUCUGGAACAGUACUAAACUGGUUUGCAUCCUACUUAAAGGAUAGAGACUACUUUGUGUCUCUAGGUAAUUACACAUCAGAGCAAACAAAAGUGACAUGUGGGGUUCCCCAAGGCUCCAUUCUGGGGCCACUCCUAUUCAACAUUUACAUGCUCCCUCUAACUCAAAUCAUAGCAAACAACAAAAUAUCUUACCAUAAUUAUGCAGUCGACACACAGAUUUACAUAACCAUAUCGCCAGGCGACUACAAUCCAAUACAAACACUGAGUCAGUGCAUUGAACAAAUCAAUGAUUGGAUGUGUCAGAAUUUUCUUCAACUAAACAAAGAUAAAACUGAAGUAAUUGUAUUUGGAGCAGAAGAAAAGCGAUUAAAAGUCUGAGCUCAGCUUCAGUCGAUAAUGUUAAAAAGCACAAACCAAGCCAGAAACCUUGGUGUUGUCAUGGACUCAGACAUGAAUCUUAACAGCCACAUAAAGACAAUUACAAAGUCAGCCUACUAUCACCUGAAGAAUAAAUCAAGGGUUAAAGGACUGAUGACCCAGCAGGAUUUGGAAAAGCUUGUCCAUGCAUUUAUCUUCAGCAGACUCGACUACUGUAAUAGUGUCUUCACAGGUCUCCCCAAAAAAUCCAUCAGACAGCUCCAACUGAUUCAGAAUGCUGCUGCUUGAGUCCUCACUAAGACCAAGAAAGUAGAUCAUAUCUCCCCAGUUCUCAGAUCUUUACACUGGCUUCCCGUCAGUCAAAGAAUUGAUUUUAAGAUACUAUUGCUGGUUUUUAAAGCACUGAAUGGUUCAGGACCAAAAUACAUUUCUGAUCUGCUGGCAGAGCCGGAUUAACCAUGAGGCAUAGUGAGGCAGAAGCCACUAUGACGCUGAUGAGCUGCGCCUGGUGUGAGGAGGAUUAGGCUGUAUUGGGACAGAGGAAAAAGUGCCUAGAAAGUGAAUCUCGUUCCACUUCAGUGGGGCAACAUAGACUGUGAUUAAUAAAAUAGCUCUAUUGAUAGUUAGUACUGAAAAAAAAUAUCUACUCAUGCCACCCUGUCGAUUUUUAGUAAUCAGUGUUUUGGUGUCGAACUAUUUCCCUUCUGCAGCGUAGUGAUACUUGCACACGCGCAAUCGAAUAUGCAGGAGGUGAAGCGAUUUUUGUCACAUGGACCAAUAGGAGCCGAGUCUCGCUGCCAUAGUAACAGAAAUACACAAACAUGGCGACGACCGCAUCUAGCAGCGAGACAAGUGAAGAGGAAGAAAAGAAAAGGAGAAAAAGAAAUCAGCCUUCAAAAGUGCAUAAAAAAGGAACGAAACGAUGCUAUAUGCAUCUAUCAUCUGUCCAGAGUGAAGACGUUCUCGACUUUACAAGGACACGUUGGGAAACUUACAGAACUAGUAUUAGAAAGUGGCUUUCUCUACAGAGUGAGACAAAAGACCAGCCAGAAAUGUACAUAUAUGUGAGUAACACAAAAAACGAUUAUAUGGUGCUGCUGUUUUUGCUUGUAGAAACUGCUAUGUUGAUUCUGGCAAGACAAAAUCUUUCUCAAAUGUCAUAAAUACAUCUACCUAACAUCUGAAACAGUUAUCGGUGCCUUAGUAUACACAUAAGUGAAUUGAGAUUUUGAAAGAAAACGUCUCAACUCAAGUGAUUUGCACCCAGCACAAUGAAAUAUAUACAGUGAAUUUAGCUAAAAGCUUAUGUUUUAUACAUAAAAAUGACACAACCUACUGUGUAAUAAAAGCAAUAAAAUAUAAACAGCACAUCAUGGCCAUAAAUGGCUGAAAGUCAAUCAAAUUGCUACCACGCUCCCCAAAAUUGGAAUAAUGGAAAAAAUGUAACAAGACAAAAAUAAAUGCACAAAAGGUCUGAAUUAAUUCAAAAUAUGGUAUAAAACAUUUAUUCAAGUAUCACAGUGUCAAAACAUCUGACAGUUGUAUUAACCCAGUGGUUUGGCUAGAGGUGGUGGCUAGUGGAACCGUUAAAUAACCACCCAUAACUGCAGUAAUUUCCACAAAAUGACCAAUAAAAACUGCCAUUUUUUUGCGCGCGGGACAGAGGGGGGCCAUUAGGUUUGCUUAGCCUCAGGGGCCACAGAGGGUUUAAUCCGGGCCUGUCUGCUGGUACGUUACGAACCAUCCAGACCGCUCAGAUCAUCAGGAGCAUGUCUGCUCUCUGUCCCCAGAGUCAGAACUAAACAUGGAGAAGCAGCUUUUAGUUUUUAUGCUCCUCAUAUCUGGAACAAACUCCUUGAAAAAUGUAGAUCUGCUGAAACUCUCAGUUCUUUUAAAUCACAGCUGAAAACGCAUAUGUUUGCCGUGGCCUAUCAUUAAAUCAAACCUGAGGCCCCUAAUCAACAUCUUCAUCAUCUGCCUGUCUUGAUCUCUUUUCUCUCUCUCUUUGUUUUCUUUUAUCUCCAACCUUAAUUUAGUUUUGAAUGUAACUUUAAAUUUGUUAAAUGUCUUUUACGCUGUUUUUACUUUUCAAAUUGUGUUGAAUGUUUUGCCUGCUUGUUUCAUGUAAAGCACCUUAAAUUGCCCUGCUUGACUUAACUUGACUUGACUUGACUUGACUAUCUUAUGUCCAACAUUUCACAUUUUGGUAAUCAUCAGCAAAAAGCAGUGUAUGCAGAAAACCUACAAUUCUACCACUAAUUUGAAUAACCUCAGAUCUUUCCCUACAGCUCAUUCACCACAAAAUUUGUUGUUAAUCAGCCACCACUCACCAUAAAUAUGAACGUCUGCUCUCUGCUGAACAAGUCUUUUACAGUUGGUCCUGAUUUUAGAUCACGAACUUGACUGUUCUCAAUGAGGCCUCCCCACCUGAUUUUUUUUAUUUUUUUUUAUUUAACAACAAAAUAGUGUGACAACAACAACAGAAACAACAACAACAACAAAAAGAUAAAAAAUAAAAAAAAUUACAAAAAUACUUUUGUGAGGGAGGGGAGGGGGAAAGAAUUUAUAUAAUAUGUAAUAGAGAAUUUAACAAGAAAAGAAAAAAAAAUCUUACUGGAUUACAUUGGAAUAUCUAUGUAGUAAUAACUAUAUAUAUACAUAUACAUACACAUACACACAUACAUGCACACAUACAUACACACAUAUACAUAUAUACAUACAUAUACAUAUAUAUACACAUAUAUACACACACACACACAAUCCCCCCGAAUCACCGACACAACAGCGAAGAUACAACAACCACAACAGCAUUAGUAAUGACAACACCAGAAAUACCGGCGAUAGCAAUGACAGCAAACGAAUGACCGCAACGACGCUAACAAUAAUGACAGUCAUAGUAAUGAAGAUAUGGAACAACAAAAAUCACCACAAUUUACAACACUAUGGCCCGGGCCAGAGGCCGGCCCGGCCCCCUGCACACACCAAAGAGCAGGCCGACCGGCACCCACGUCCACCGUGGUGGGACGCCCGCGGGGCACCCCACAGGGCCCCGCCCCGCGGCCACCCGCCAACCGAACUGACCAUCCACUCCACCUCUAAAUACCCUGGGCCGCACAUGACUCUCCUCUUGUGGUAUGUUCAUGUGGUGCAUUAAAAACUUCACUGUGAUGUAUGCAUUAAAAAGUGGGGUGUGAAGGGUUGGUGUGUGAUGCAUUAAAAGUCGGAGAGGCAUGUGACAUGGAACUGGCCCGGGGCAAAAAAAAGAAACUGGGGCAGAGUGGUGCCAAAAAGGGGCGGGGCCCGCGGCCCACACAGGAUCCCCACAUUUUGCGCCCACCAGGUCCAGGCAGCAGCAGGCAUGGCCAGCCAAUCCCAGGACACCGGGGAACCAUGGGCACCAGCCAGCCCACCCUCCGGCGGCACAGGGACCCAAGCCACCCCCCAGCCCAGACCACACCGCCGCACACCACAACGACCUCUGCCAUUCCACAUCCCCACAGCAAUCGCCACCCCCCCUGCCACUACCAUCAUCAUCAUCACCAUCACCAAUCCACCAUCACCACCACUACCGGCACACCACUACCGUCACCACCAACACCAUCAUCAUCAUUACACCAUCACCACUACCUCAAUGACCCGGGGAGACCAUACAUACACACCAUACAUACCAUACAUACACACAUAUACAAAUGCACAUUUUCUUUCUUUUCUUUUUUUUUUUUUUUUUUCCCUAUCUUUCCCUUUCCCUCUUCAUUCCCCUCCCCUUAAUGUGUUUUAUUGAGUGCGGUGUGUGUAUGCAUGUGUGUCUGCCUGCGUGUGCGUGUGUAUUCAAAACAUGUGUAGGAAUGUUAUUGAUAGUAUGGAUAGAUUUAUGUAUAAUUGAU